AAGUAAAGUCGUAACAAGGUUCGUAGGUGACCUGCGGAAGGAUCAUUAAUAAGUUCCUGAAUUAAAGAAUAAAUAAUAUCCUACCCUAUGUGAAUUUGUUGUUUGAAUAAUUUUUUAAAAAUUAUUGAUUGUCUUUCCUGUUGAAUUAGAGUGUCUUCGGAUAUGAAAUUCACAGGGAUAGUCAGUAAUUUUUUAAAAGACCUUUUUUAAAUUAAACUUUUGUAUUCAUUUGUCUAAAAUUAUUUUAUAAUAUAAAAAACUUUGACAAUGGAUCUCUUGGUUCUCGCACGAUGAGACGCAGCAAAUGCGAUAAGUAGUGUGAAUUGCAGAAUACGUGAAUCAUCGAAUCUUCGAACGCAUAUUGCACUUUUUAGUUACUAAAAAAGUAUGUCUGUUUGAUAUAGUAAUAUUCUCAUAAAACUAUUGUUUUAUGUUAUGAGUGUUUUACAACGAUACAAGUUGUUCACUUAAAUUUUUUUUUAAAAUUGAAAUUUUCUAAUUUAAAUAAAUUGGAUAAAUUUCCCGUAAAAGGAAUAACUAACAUUUUAAUUUAAAAUAAAAGAAAAGUAUUCAUAAGGAAAUUUAACAAAAUAACUGAUCUCAAUCAGAUAGAGUACCGCUGAACUUAGCAUAUCAUAAGCGGAGAAAGAAACUAACAAGGAUUCCUUAGUAACGGCGAGUGAAGCGGGAAGAGCUCAAAUUGAAUCUUCAAGGUUUACCUUGACGAAUUGUAGUUUAAGAAGUGUUUUCUGUUGAAGUUUGGUAAAGUUCUUGGAAUAGACAUCAUAGAGGUGAGAAUCCGUAUUGACAUUAUUUUCAGCUGUGUGAUACACUUCAAGAGUCGGAUUGUUGGAUGCAGUCCAAAAUGGGUGUAAUUUCAUCUAAAGCUAAUAUUGGCGAGAGACGAUAGCGAACAAGUACGUGAGGAAAGAUGAAAAGAACUUGAAAGAGAGUUAAACAGUACGUGAAUUGUCAAAGGAAGCGUUUGACACCAGUGUUGUUUCUCGAAAUCAAUUAAAAAAGUUGAUUUUGUUGUAUUGACCUUACAGCUUCUUCAUCUUUUCUGCUUUUUUAAUGCACUUUUCGUUUACAAGUCACAUCAGUUCUUUUGUUGUAAAAGUCAUUGGAAGUGCUUCUUUCGGAAAGUGUUUAUAGCCUUUGAUCCUGCAAUCGGAGAGACUGAGUCUGCAGCGUAGAUCUCGGUUAGAUACAUUUGUGCUAAUUAUAGCUUUUAUAGACAACUGUUGACUAUAUUAGUCUGUAGCUUACUCGCUUAUGCUAUUUACUACGCUUAGGAUGUUGAG
RNAcentral lists this unclassified non-coding RNA (1304 nucleotides) under uncultured Neocallimastigales. RNAcentral describes it as "partial contains small subunit ribosomal RNA, internal transcribed spacer 1, 5.8S ribosomal RNA, and internal transcribed spacer 2". The stretch from base 596 to 1304 matches the Rfam family "Eukaryotic large subunit ribosomal RNA", at positions 1 to 630 of the family's 3401-position model. Lineage: Eukaryota; Fungi; Neocallimastigomycota; Neocallimastigomycetes; Neocallimastigales. The record is from RNAcentral.